This 402-nucleotide ribosomal RNA is filed under the name uncultured bacterium. RNAcentral describes it as "bacterial SSU rRNA". It matches the Rfam family "Bacterial small subunit ribosomal RNA", at positions 28 to 424 of the family's 1533-position model. The record is from RNAcentral.
GAUGAACGCUAGCGGCAGGCUUAAUACAUGCAAGUCGAGGGGCAGCACAGUGUAGCAAUACAUGGGUGGCGACCGGCAAACGGGUGCGGAACACGUACACAACCUUCCUUUAAGCGGGGGAUAGCCCGGGGAAACCCGGAUUAAUACCCCAUAGUAUAUCGAAAAGGCAUCUUUUUGAUAUUAAAGAUUUAUCACUUAAUGAUGGGCGUGCGUCUGAUUAGGUAGUUGGCGGGGUAGAAGCCCACCAAGCCUUCGAUCAGUAGCUGAUGUGAGAGCAUGAUCAGCCACACGGGCACUGAGACACGGGCCCGACUCCUACGGGAGGCAGCAGUAAGGAAUAUUGGUCAAUGGACGCAAGUCUGAACCAGCCAUGCCGCGUGAAGGAUGAAGGUCCUCUGGAUU